RNAcentral lists this unclassified non-coding RNA (228 nucleotides) under Glomeraceae sp. RNAcentral's name for it is "partial contains 5.8S ribosomal RNA and internal transcribed spacer 2". The stretch from base 1 to 71 matches the Rfam family "5.8S ribosomal RNA", at positions 84 to 154 of the family's 154-position model. The record is from RNAcentral. Lineage: Eukaryota; Fungi; Glomeromycota; Glomeromycetes; Glomerales; Glomeraceae.
GUGAAUCAUCAAAUUUUUGAACGCAAAUUGCACUCUCUGGUAUUCCGGAGAGUAUGCCUGUUUGAGGGUCAGUUUAAAUAAAAAUCGGUGUGGUUGCUGCCUUUCGUGGUGACGCACCGGAUGUUGAUCGUUUUGGCUUUUAUUAAGUGACCUAGAAUUUUACGAAAUUUUUUGCGAACUGAUUUAAAUUAUUUUAUUUACGGUUGCGAUAUGGAAUACAAGAUUUAA